Molecule: ribosomal RNA, 675 nt
Filed under: uncultured Verrucomicrobiota bacterium
Lineage: Bacteria; Pseudomonadati; Verrucomicrobiota
Description: bacterial SSU rRNA
Rfam family: Bacterial small subunit ribosomal RNA
Source: RNAcentral
CGGGGUUGUUUGUGUAGCAAUACAUCGACAGCCUAGUGGCGAACGGGUGCGUAACACGUGAGCAAUCUGCCGGGAAGUGGGGGAUAGCUCGCCGAAAGGCGAAUUAAUACCGCAUGUGGCCAGAAGGGACAUCCCUUCGACGCCAAAGUCGCAAGACACUUCCUGAUGAGCUCGCGGCCUAUCAGCUUGUUGGUGAGGUAACGGCUCACCAAGGCUAUGACGGGUAGCUGGUCUGAGAGGACGACCAGCCACACUGGAACUGAGACACGGUCCAGACACCUACGGGUGGCAGCAGUCGAGAAUUUUUCACAAUGGGGGAAACCCUGAUGGAGCGACGCCGCGUGGAGGAUGAAGGUCUUCGGAUUGUAAACUCCUGUCAUGCGAGAACAAGAAAGUGAUAGUAUCGCAAGAGGAAGAGACGGCUAACUCUGUGCCAGCAGCCGCGGUAAUACAGAGGUCUCAAGCGUUGUUCGGAUUCAUUGGGCGUAAAGGGUGCGUAGGCGGCGUGGUAAGUUGAGUGUGAAAUCCUGGGGCUUAACCUCAGAACUGCACUCAAUACUGCCAUGCUCGAGGAAUGUAGAGGAGAGUGGAAUUCACGGUGUAGCAGUGAAAUGCGUAGAUAUCGUGAGGAAGACCAGUUGCGAAGGCGACUCUCUGGGCAUUUCCUGACGCUGA